This is a non-coding RNA of Aethalodelphis obliquidens (Pacific white-sided dolphin), 73 nucleotides long. Lineage: Eukaryota; Metazoa; Chordata; Mammalia; Artiodactyla; Delphinidae. The record is from the annotation of a RefSeq genome assembly.
UCCCUGGUGGUCCAGUUGGGCAAGACGCCUGCUCCCAAUGCAGGGGGACCAGGUUCGAUCCCUGGUCAGGGAA